UCCUUUUCUCCUUAUUGCAGAAGGGAAUAAUUUUUUCACGGAUGAUGAUGAUGAUGGUAUAACAAUUCCGCCGAAUCCUUCUGUUACAACACUGCCAGCAACCACAGAUGACGAAGAAGCAUAUGAUGAUGCUACUGAAGGCAGCAUAAGUGUGGAAACAACCACACAAGUUCAUCAAGAAAAUGUGGAUCAUGGUACUAAAGGCAGCAUAAGUGUGGA
Long non-coding RNA from Xenopus tropicalis (tropical clawed frog), 219 nucleotides. RefSeq lists it as uncharacterized. The record is from RefSeq and is a predicted model, not a curated record. The transcript has 3 exons. NCBI's taxonomy places the organism in Eukaryota, Metazoa, Chordata, Amphibia, Anura, Pipidae.